This is a long non-coding RNA of Hyaena hyaena (striped hyena), 903 nucleotides long. RefSeq lists it as uncharacterized. The transcript has 6 exons. NCBI's taxonomy places the organism in Eukaryota, Metazoa, Chordata, Mammalia, Carnivora, Hyaenidae. The record is from RefSeq and is a predicted model, not a curated record.
AAAAUGCACCGCCCCGAGUGUCUUAUUGCUGUGAUGAAAUGGAAAUUUAAAUAAAAGGUCGAACACGUGCGUUCACUGGGAAGUAUUGACAGGGGUGUUACAUCACCACCAGCCAAUCAGAUAACUCCAGUCGUGUUUAUACUUCUACAACCACCUUGCACUUUGCAAAUAAAUGCAUUAUUUACUGUAUUUUAACCACCGGUGCCUCUCCCAUAGAAAGAAAGAAUCACUGAAGUUAAUAGCUUAUUUAGGAUUAAAAUCAUGCUAAGUAAAAAGCAUGAUUUUUAAAGGCAUUGAAAUAAUGUUUCCGUUGAAUUUACGUUCAAAACAAUGAUCAUAGAUAUAUACAGUGGAAUAUUAUUCUGUCCUAAAAAAGAGGGAAAUCUUGUCAUUUGCAACAACAUGAAUGAAACUGGAGGACAUUAAGGAGUGGGCCAGACAGUGUGGGUGGAGAAGGAAAAACAGAAGCACCUUUGGAGAAACUGCUCAAAGUAGUCGCACUACUUACAGUGGCUCAGCAGAGUCUUCUGUAUGAACAAAGACAGUCAGCAGGAGUGAGGCAUUCAUCAGAACAAGAUGGGCAUAGUCUCUGUGGUCCUGGAUCUAGAGGGAAAAGACAAAAACACAAAAUCUCAGGUGUACAUCAGCUAUAAGCAACAUGACCAUUUUUUACAAGAAGAAGCACAUCUACAUUCUGACAAAAAAUGGUUUUAUAGCAAUGACAGCCCUACACUAAAUCCCUGACUUUCUAAGUAGAGCUAGAACUUUCAUUGUCAGCAUGGAGAUAUUGGGAACUUUGGAAACUGGAGAGGCAUUUGAAUGCAGAAGAACCGGCUCAGAAGGAGAGUCUCCAGUUUCCAGUCUGAGCUGGAGAUUCUAAGCAAGACACUUAGCUUCUCUGAG